RNAcentral lists this ribosomal RNA (497 nucleotides) under uncultured bacterium. Its description in RNAcentral is "partial 16S ribosomal RNA". It matches the Rfam family "Bacterial small subunit ribosomal RNA", at positions 28 to 507 of the family's 1533-position model. The record is from RNAcentral.
GAUGAACGCUGGCGGCGUGCCUAAUACAUGCAAGUCGAGCGAACAGACGAGGUGCUUGCUCCUCUGACGUUAGCGGCGGACGGGUGAGUAACAAGUGGAUAACCUACCUAUAAGACUGGGAUAACUACGGGAAACAGGAGCUACUACCGGAUAAUAUUCUGAAUCGCAUGGUUCAUUAGUGAAAGACGGUUUUGCUGUCACUUAUAGAUGGACUCGCGGCGGAUGAGCUAGUUGGUAAGGUAACGGCGUACCAAGGCGACGAUGCGUAGCCGACCUGAGAGGGGGAGCGGCCGCACUGGAGGGGGGGCACGGCCCAGACUCCUACGGGGGGCGGCAGUAGGGAGUCUUCCGCAAUGGGCGAAAGCCGGACGGAGCAGCGCCGCGGGGGGAAGGAAGGUCUUCGGAGCGUAAGACUCUGUUAUUGGGAAAGAACAAAGGUGUAAGUGACUAUGCACGUCUUGACGGUACCUGAACAGAAAGCCACGGCUAACUACGUG